GACGUAACGCCUGGGCGGCGCGCCUAACACAUGCAAGUCGAACGAGCGAGGAGAGAGACGUUGCUUUCUCAAGCGAGUGGCGAACGGGUGAGUAACGCGUGAGGAACCUGCCUCAAAGAGGGGGAUAACAGUUAGAAAUGACUGCUAAUACCGCAUAAGCGCACAGUGCUGCAUGGCACAGUGUGAAAAACUCCGGUGGUAUGAGAUGGACCCGCGUCUGAUUAGCUAGUUGGUGGGGUAACGGCCUACCAAGGCGACGAUCAGUAGCCGGCCUGAGAGGGUGAACGGCCACAUUGGGACUGAGACACGGCCCAA
This 315-nucleotide ribosomal RNA is filed under the name uncultured bacterium. RNAcentral describes it as "bacterial SSU rRNA". It matches the Rfam family "Bacterial small subunit ribosomal RNA", at positions 38 to 334 of the family's 1533-position model. The record is from RNAcentral.